RNAcentral lists this ribosomal RNA (627 nucleotides) under uncultured fungus. RNAcentral's name for it is "LSU rRNA". It matches the Rfam family "Eukaryotic large subunit ribosomal RNA", at positions 23 to 664 of the family's 3401-position model. The record is from RNAcentral. Lineage: Eukaryota; Fungi.
ACCCGCUGAACUUAAGCAUAUCAAUAAGCGGAGGAAAAGAAACCAACAGGGAUUGCCCUAGUAACGGCGAGUGAAGCGGCAACAGCUCAAAUUUGAAAUCUGGCGUCUUCGGCGUCCGAGUUGUAAUUUGUAGAGGAUGCUUUUGGGCAGCCACCGGUCUAAGUUCCUUGGAACAGGACGUCAUAGAGGGUGAGAAUCCCGUAUGUGACCGGCUUAGGCACCCUUUGUAAAGCUCCUUCGACGAGUCGAGUUGUUUGGGAAUGCAGCUCUAAAUGGGAGGUAAAUUUCUUCUAAAGCUAAAUACCGGCCAGAGACCGAUAGCGCACAAGUAGAGUGAUCGAAAGAUGAAAAGCACUUUGGAAAGAGAGUUAAAAAGCACGUGAAAUUGUUGAAAGGGAAGCGCUUGCAAUCAGACUUGCCCGCGGUUGUUCAGCCUGUCUUCUGACUGGUUUAUUCUUCCGUGGGCAGGCCAGCAUCAGUUUCGGCGGCCGGAUAAAGGCCUUGGGAAUGUAGCAUCCUCCGGGGUGUGUUAUAGCCCAGGGUGUAAUACGGCCUGCUGGGACUGAGGUCCGCGCUUCGGCUAGGAUGCUGGCAUAAUGGUUGUAAGCGGCCCGUCUUGAAACACGG